RNAcentral lists this ribosomal RNA (468 nucleotides) under uncultured bacterium. RNAcentral's name for it is "partial 16S ribosomal RNA". It matches the Rfam family "Bacterial small subunit ribosomal RNA", at positions 28 to 507 of the family's 1533-position model. The record is from RNAcentral.
GACGAACGCUGGCGGCGUGCUUAACACAUGCAAGUCGAACGGAAAGGCCCUGCUUUUGUGGGGUGCUCGAGUGGCGAACGGGUGAGUAACACGUGAGUAACCUGCCCUUGACUUUGGGAUAACUUCAGGAAACUGGGGCUAAUACCUGAUAGGAUCUCCUGCUGCAUGGUGGGGGUUGGAAAUUUUCGGCGGUUGGGGAUUGACUCGCGGCUUAUCAGCUUGUUGGUGGGGUAGUGGCUUACCAAGGCUUUGACGGGUAUCCGGCCUGAGAGGGUGACCGGCAAAAUUGGGACUGAGAUACGGCCCAGAAUGCUACGGGAGGCAGCAGUGGGGAAUAGUGCACAAUGGGCGGAAGCCUGAUGCAGCAAAGCAGCGUGCGGGAUGACGGCCUUCGGGUUGUAAACCGAUUUCGCCUGUGACGAAGAGUGAGUGACGGUAAUGGGUAAAGAAGCACCGGCUAACUACGUG